Molecule: ribosomal RNA, 662 nt
Filed under: Vibrio vulnificus
Lineage: Bacteria; Pseudomonadati; Pseudomonadota; Gammaproteobacteria; Vibrionales; Vibrionaceae
Description: partial 23S ribosomal RNA
Rfam family: Bacterial large subunit ribosomal RNA
Source: RNAcentral
UUUGACUGGGGCGGUCUCCUCCCAAAGAGUAACGGAGGAGCACGAAGGUGGGCUAAUCACGGUUGGACAUCGUGAGGUUAGUGCAAUGGCAUAAGCCCGCUUAACUGCGAGAAUGACGGUUCGAGCAGGUGCGAAAGCAGGUCAUAGUGAUCCGGUGGUUCUGAAUGGAAGGGCCAUCGCUCAACGGAUAAAAGGUACUCCGGGGAUAACAGGCUGAUACCGCCCAAGAGUUCAUAUCGACGGCGGUGUUUGGCACCUCGAUGUCGGCUCAUCACAUCCUGGGGCUGAAGUCGGUCCCAAGGGUAUGGCUGUUCGCCAUUUAAAGUGGUACGCGAGCUGGGUUUAGAACGUCGUGAGACAGUUCGGUCCCUAUCUGCCGUGGGCGUUGGAAGAUUGAAGGGGGCUGCUCCUAGUACGAGAGGACCGGAGUGGACGAACCUCUGGUGUUCGGGUUGUGUCGCCAGACGCAUUGCCCGGUAGCUAAGUUCGGAAUCGAUAACCGCUGAAAGCAUCUAAGCGGGAAGCGAGCCCUGAGAUGAGUCUUCCCUGAUACUUUAAGUAUCCUGAAGGGUUGUUCGAGACUAGAACGUUGAUAGGCAGGGUGUGUAAGCGCUGUGAGGCGUUGAGCUAACCUGUACUAAUUGCCCGUGAGGCUUAACCAU